UUAUUUUCUUUAUCGGUGAGAUGAAACACCAAACCCAGAAAACUCUCAUACUAAUCUUCGAUUUGAAAAUCAAUAACGAAAUAUUGCUUAGAUCAAGCUUUUUCAUUGCUGUUUAUCAAGUUUCUACCGCAGAUUCCGAAUUAAGAAACAUUUUGUCAAAUUCUCUGUUUGAAUAGAUUCAUUGGGCGAUGACUGUGAAGAACCCGAGCUUGUAUGAAUAAUAACAUAAAUGAUGAUGUUGCCAAAAGAAGAUGAUGGACAAAGAUAAGUUGUUCAUACGAUUAUUACUUAACAAACAAUGUUUUUAAAUAAAUGGUGGUGAUGAUAGAAAGUUAUAAUUGUACAGGGAAAGCGUAAUUAUCAAGUUCAAUUCUUUUGAAAGAGUCAAUUCUGAUGUCGUUUUGGAGCCUUGCAAAAAAACUGCAGCAACAAUAAGCUUUAUGUCAGCAAGAUCGGUGAAUGCUUGCUCAGCUGCCAUUUUCUUAGAGAAAUCGUGAAGUGGUAAUGGUAAAACUUUAAAAGAUUCCAACACUCAAACUCAAGAGAUUCAGUAUGGGCCUAAUUAUCUCGUAAGCCCAAUAGGAAGUUUUCUCAUUGGAAUUGGGUCAGCGUUUUUUAAAGAAAGAGGACCCGAGUAGAGGAUCCAAGAUCCGCGUCCCAGCAUAGCCAAUUUUCAAUUUUACCCCUUUUACGAAAUCUUUUAUUUUGUCGUGUAAUAAAAAAAUUGUAAUGGCAUUCCUUUGUAAUUUUUUACACUUUAUAAGGUUUAUUAUUAGGGAAUGCUUCCCAAUUAAUAGUA
This is a long non-coding RNA of Arabidopsis lyrata subsp. lyrata, 799 nucleotides long. RefSeq lists it as uncharacterized. The transcript is spliced from 5 exons. The record is from RefSeq and is a predicted model, not a curated record. NCBI's taxonomy places the organism in Eukaryota, Viridiplantae, Streptophyta, Magnoliopsida, Brassicales, Brassicaceae.